Molecule: non-coding RNA, 591 nt
Organism: Nylanderia fulva
Lineage: Eukaryota; Metazoa; Arthropoda; Insecta; Hymenoptera; Formicidae
Source: RefSeq, a predicted model, not a curated record
AUUAUGGAUACACUUAAGAAAUAUAUAUUUGGUACCAUAAACUUUUGACCAUGUAGCUACUCACGUAAUGUAGACAUCAAAUGUUUGUGUAUAAAUUAUAUUUUACAAAGUAAACAUGGUCAAGCUAUCAUUAUAUUUGCAAUAUUUCAUAGCGUGGCUAGAAGACUUGGUCUACGUUGCGAUAUAAUACUUAUUUGGCCUCGCUAUUGUAUAUUUUGGAGACCGAAAUUCGUCACAAGUAGUUUAAAAAAUGCACAAUGCUUUCACAUAAAAAACGAGAAUUUCCCGAAUUGUCUUUUUUAUCAUAUAUCAGUGUACAGGAUGCAAACAAAUUGCUUUCGCGACCUCGCAAUAACAACUAAAAAGAUGUUGAUGUUAACAAAAAAUACUGUUAUAGAUUUUAUAACGGAACACAAUAAAAACUUUGCGAUUACACCAAAUUGAUUGUAAUAAGUAAAGAACAUACGCGCACUAACAAUCGCAUAUUAGUAUAUAAUAUAUAUACAAUUGUAAAAAUAUUGAACUUUGUGAGAUUCUUUUGGAUAAUAAUUCUUUUAGAUAACAAUAUGUAUAAUAUACAAUUUUUUAUCA